UUAAACUAGGAGGAAAUUUUCAGUUUGUUUUCAUAAAGAAGACCAAAAUAAUGAACAUACGUUCUUUCAGGAAAGAACUGCUGCACAAUAACUGGGAAAUACGUGUUUUUGGGUAGCUGAAGUCUUGUACUGGGCCUGUCCCACUGACCCCAUAGGAAUCCUACCAGUGCUCUGAAAGUCUGUGGAAUGUGACUGAGUGUUGUGGUGUCUUGGAUAUUCAUUUUUGCCCUUGGAUAAUAAAAAUAAGAUGGUUCUUGUUAUUAUUUCUGUCUUCAGGUUUUUGGUUCUCAUAUGUUUCCUGUCACACCCUUGAGGUAUCUAUUCUUGGGUUUGUUUUCAGCUGCCCAAAUAUAUCCUGAAAACGAAGCAAAAUCAGUUAACAUAAACCAUGCAAAAAAGCUUCAUAACCAUGAGUGGCUACUCUGAGUUGUUAUGAAGGAGAAGUUGGUGUACAUGUCAGAAUAAACAUAAUAAAUAAAAAAUCAUUCUUGGCCAUCAA
This is a non-coding RNA of Lonchura striata (white-rumped munia), 499 nucleotides long. The record is from RefSeq and is a predicted model, not a curated record. NCBI's taxonomy places the organism in Eukaryota, Metazoa, Chordata, Aves, Passeriformes, Estrildidae.